CCUACGGGGGGCUGCAGUGGGGAAUAUUGGACAAUGGGGGCAACCCUGAUCCAGCCAUGCCGCGUGUGUGAAGAAGGCCCUCGGGUUGUAAAGCACUUUCAGUGAGGAAGAACGCCUGGUGGUUAAUACCCAUCAGGAAAGACAUCACUCACAGAAGAAGCACCGGCUAACUCCGUGCCAGCAGCCGCGGUAAUACGGAGGGUGCGAGCGUUAAUCGGAAUUACUGGGCGUAAAGCGCGCGUAGGUGGCUUGAUAAGCCGGUUGUGAAAGCCCCGGGCUCAACCUGGGAACGGCAUCCGGAACUGUCAAGCUAGAGUGCAGGAGAGGAAGGUAGAAUUCCCGGUGUAGCGGUGAAAUGCGUAGAGAUCGGGAGGAAUACCAGUGGCGAAGGCGGCCUUCUGGACUGACACUGACACUGAGGUGCGAAAGCGUGGGUAGCAAACAGGAUUAGAUAGCCGUGUAGUC
This 465-nucleotide ribosomal RNA is filed under the name Vreelandella stevensii. RNAcentral describes it as "partial 16S ribosomal RNA". It matches the Rfam family "Bacterial small subunit ribosomal RNA", at positions 338 to 795 of the family's 1533-position model. Lineage: Bacteria; Pseudomonadati; Pseudomonadota; Gammaproteobacteria; Oceanospirillales; Halomonadaceae. The record is from RNAcentral.